RNAcentral lists this ribosomal RNA (300 nucleotides) under uncultured Mollicutes bacterium. RNAcentral's name for it is "bacterial SSU rRNA". It matches the Rfam family "Bacterial small subunit ribosomal RNA", at positions 1080 to 1381 of the family's 1533-position model. The record is from RNAcentral. Lineage: Bacteria; Bacillati; Mycoplasmatota; Mollicutes.
UUAAGUCCCGCAACGAGCGCAACCCUCAUUGUUAGUUACUACCAUUCAGUUGAGGACUCUAAUGAGACUGCCAACGACAAGUUGGAGGAAGGUGGGGAUGACGUCAAAUCAUCAUGCCCUUUAUGACCUGGGCUACAAACGUACUACAAUGGCCAAUACAAAGAGAUGCGAAGCGGUGACGUGGAGCGAACCUCAGAAAGUUGGUCUCAGUUCAGAUUGAAGUCUGCAACUCGACUUCAUGAAGGCGGAAUCGCUAGUAAUCGCGGGUCAGCAGACCGCGGUGAAUACGUUCCCGGGUUU